GAUGAAGAACGUAGCGAAAUGUGAUAAGUAAUGUGAAUUGCAGAAUUCAGUGAAUCAUCGAAUCUUUGAACGCACAUUGCGCCCCCUGGUAUUCCGGGGGGCAUGCCUGUCCGAGCGUCAUUACAACCCUCAAGCUCAGCUUGGUGUUGGGCCCCGCCGCCCCGGCGGGCCCUAAAGUCAGUGGCGGUGCCGUCCGGCUCCGAGCGUAGUAAUUCUUCUCGCUCUGGAGGUCCGGUCGUGUGCUCGCCAGCAACCCCCAAUUUUUUUCAGGUUGACCUCGGAUCAGGUAGGGAUACCCGCUGAACUUAAGCAUAUCAAUAAGCGGAGGA
This 329-nucleotide unclassified non-coding RNA is filed under the name soil metagenome. RNAcentral describes it as "partial contains 5.8S ribosomal RNA, internal transcribed spacer 2, and large subunit ribosomal RNA". The stretch from base 1 to 120 matches the Rfam family "5.8S ribosomal RNA", at positions 35 to 154 of the family's 154-position model. The record is from RNAcentral.